AGAGUUUGAUCCUGGCUCAGAUUGAACGCUGGCGGCAUGCCUUACACAUGCAAGUCGAACGGCAGCACGGGAGCAAUCCUGGUGGCGAGUGGCGAACGGGUGAGUAAAGUAUCGGAACGUACCAUUCAGUGGGGGAUAACGUAGCGAAAGUUACGCUAAUACCGCAUAUUCUGUGAGCAGGAAAGCAGGGGAUCGAAAGACCUUGCGCUGAUUGAGCGGCCGAUAUCAGAUUAGCUAGUUGGUGAGGUAAAGGCUCACCAAGGCGACGAUCUGUAGCGGGUCUGAGAGGAUGAUCCGCCACACUGGAACUGAGACACGGUCCAGACUCCUACGGGAGGCAGCAGUGGGGAAUUUUGGACAAUGGGCGCAAGCCUGAUCCAGCCAUGCCGCGUGAGUGAAGAAGGCCUUCGGG
This 412-nucleotide ribosomal RNA is filed under the name uncultured bacterium. Its description in RNAcentral is "bacterial SSU rRNA". It matches the Rfam family "Bacterial small subunit ribosomal RNA", at positions 8 to 422 of the family's 1533-position model. The record is from RNAcentral.